GACGAACGCUGGCGGCGUGCUUAACACAUGCAAGUCGAACGGAAAGGCCCUGCUUUUGUGGGGUGCUCGAGUGGCGAACGGGUGAGUAACACGUGAGUAACCUGCCCUUGACUUUGGGAUAACUUCAGGAAACUGGGGCUAAUACCGGAUAGGAGCUCCUGCUGCAUGGGGGGGGUUGGAAAGUUUCGGCGGUUGGGGAUGGACUCGCGGCUUAUCAGCUUGUUGGUGGGGUAGUGGCUUACCAAGGCUUUGACGGGUAGCCGGCCUGGGAGGGUGACCGGCCCCAUUGGGACUGAGAUACGGCCCAGCCUCCUACGGGAGGCAGCAGUGGGGAAUAUUGCACAGUGGGCGGGAGCCUGAUGCAGCAACGCCGCGUGCGGGAUGACGGCCUUCGGGUUGUAAACCGCUUUCGCCUGUGACGAAGCGUGAGUGACGGUAAUGGGUAAAGAAGCACCGGCUAACUACGUG
RNAcentral lists this ribosomal RNA (468 nucleotides) under uncultured bacterium. Its description in RNAcentral is "partial 16S ribosomal RNA". It matches the Rfam family "Bacterial small subunit ribosomal RNA", at positions 28 to 507 of the family's 1533-position model. The record is from RNAcentral.